RNAcentral lists this ribosomal RNA (322 nucleotides) under uncultured bacterium. Its description in RNAcentral is "bacterial SSU rRNA". It matches the Rfam family "Bacterial small subunit ribosomal RNA", at positions 775 to 1092 of the family's 1533-position model. The record is from RNAcentral.
AGUAAAUAGAUACCCGGGUAGUCCACGCCGUAAACGAUGAGUACUAGGUGUAGGAGGUAUCGACUCCUUCUGUGCCGCAGUUAAACACAAUAAGUACUCCGCCUGGGAAGUACGGUCGCAAGAUUAAAACUCAAAGGAAUUGACGGGGGCCCGCACAAGCAGCGGAGCAUGUGGUUUAAAUUCGAAGCAACGCGAAGAACCUUACCUAGACUUGACAUCUCCUGAAUAGUGUAGAGAUACAUGAAGCCCUUCGGGGCAGGAAGACAGGUGGUGCAUGGUUGUCGUCAGCUCGUGUCGUGAGAUGUUGGGUUAAGUCCCGCAA